RNAcentral lists this long non-coding RNA (1228 nucleotides) under Anas platyrhynchos platyrhynchos (common mallard). RNAcentral's name for it is "lncRNA (ENSAPLG00000018828.1)". Lineage: Eukaryota; Metazoa; Chordata; Aves; Anseriformes; Anatidae. The record is from RNAcentral.
GUUCCUGUGUCACCAUGGCAGACGCGAUGAGGAAACCUGUGCACUCGAAGCCUCCGGUGUCGCUGGGCAUGUACAGGAGUUCGUACAAGAGGGACUACGGGUGGUACGAUGAGAACCAGCCAACCUCCGAGGUGUACGCGCAGAAGCUGAAGUUUGCCGAUGCCCAGCUGAAAGCCAAGGAGUUCUCCGUGCCUGAGGAACCACGGGUGAUGACAUACAGCGAUGCUGGUGGGGAAGGACGAGGAGUCACCCCCGGCCCUGGGGCUGUGCGAAGGAGGAAGCAAGAAGGCAGCGCCUCCAGCCCCCCACCAUUUCAGCAGGCCGAAGAAGAGCAGCGAAUGCGCUUGGGUUCAGCCCUUCCCCUUGCAGAAACCUACCUCCCGAGGCCCUGCCCUGCCGCCAAGCUGACAGAAACCCAGGCGGAGAGAUUGGAGAGGCCGCGGGCUCUCAGUGAGCUGGAAAACGAGCUGCCUUCUUCCCAGCGCCUUCUGGCUGCUGCUCGCGCCCCCGGAGCAGCAGGGAUGUUGCUGCACAGGCAGAAGCUGGAUCCGACCUGGGGCACCUACCAGCACUUCAUGCUGGAGACGGGCCGGGCAAAGCAAGAGGAGGCUCAGCAGAACAAGAACAUGUUCCUGGGCUCCUCUGUUUUGGCGGAAGAGUGUUUUGACCUUGACCGGAGAAGUACCUACACCACAGACUUCCAGCGCUGGCCUGCAGCCCACGAUGGAUGCUGCAAAGCAAAUAAGAAUAUUUCGCACAUUUUCCCUGAAGAUGGGCACUUCCAGCAGAACUGCUGGGUGUCUGAGUACAAGGACAAUUACAGCAUUUUCUUGCAUAGGCUGAACCGAGCGGCUCAAGAGCCCACCACGGGGCUGAGCUCUGCCUUGAAGCCCCCCAGGCUGUCCUCCCAGACUGGAGUUGCACUGGACACGGCCCCGUGAGCCAUGCUCCUUGGCUCUCUAAACUGUGUGAUAUUGCCCACCGGAGACCCUGGAAGCCUGGAAACCUCUCUUCCAAAACCCCCAUUACUGAAUACUUUUUAAGUGUUCAGCAGAAUUUUUUUUUACACAUAUAUUUUCACUGAAAUCUCACAAGAAACCUGAGCUUUUAUUGUUGUCAGAAAAAAAAAAAAAAAGGAUUUUUUGGACGAUGCAAGUUACAGAGCUAAAGCCACUCAGUUUCAAUUCAUAUACUCUAAAUAAAAAUUUCCAGUAAACUUUGUCUUACA